UCGACGGUACGGAGGCCGGCAGACGGGU
This 28-nucleotide small RNA is filed under the name Bombyx mori (domestic silkworm). Its description in RNAcentral is "ovarian small RNA-28319". The record is from RNAcentral. Lineage: Eukaryota; Metazoa; Arthropoda; Insecta; Lepidoptera; Bombycidae.